UCCUACGGGAGGCAGCAGGAGGGAAUCUUGCGCAAUGGGCGAAAGCCUGACGCAGCGACGCCGCGUGGGGGAUGAAUGCCUUAGGGUUGUAAACCCCUUUCACGAGGGAAGAAACUGACGGUACCUCGAGAAGAAGCCCCGGCCAACUACGUGCCAGCAGCCGCGGUAAUACGUAGGGGGCGAGCGUUGUCCGGAUUUAUUGGGCGUAAAGGGCUCGUAGGCGGCUUGGCAAGUCGGCCGUGAAAACCCAGGGCUCAACUCUGGGACGCCGGUCGAUACUGCCAUGGCUAGGGUCCGGUAGAGGGGAAUGGAAUUCCCGGUGUAGCGGUGAAAUGCGCAGAUAUCGGGAGGAACACCAGUAGCGAAGGCGGUUCCCUGGGCCGGCACCGACGCUGAGGAGCGAAAGCGUGGGUAGCGAACGGGAUUAGAAACCCCGGUAGUCCACGCCGUAAACGAUGUACAUUAGGCGUUCGGCAACGAUGGUUGUUGAGUGUCGCAGCAAACGCGAUAAAUGUACCGCCUGGGGAGUACGGUCGCAAGGCUAAAACUCAAAGGAAUUGACGGGGA
This 567-nucleotide ribosomal RNA is filed under the name uncultured bacterium. RNAcentral's name for it is "bacterial SSU rRNA". It matches the Rfam family "Bacterial small subunit ribosomal RNA", at positions 337 to 919 of the family's 1533-position model. The record is from RNAcentral.